ACCUUGUGCUAAACUGCGGAGAAGUUUUGGUGUCGCCCAGUCGUGGAUGGGCUGUGACAGCAGUGGACGUGCCAAUGGACUUGAUGAGUGGCCAUCACAGGGAUGGAUGUCUCCAUAAUACACUAGCCUGAGUCUUAUGGAAGCCAGGGCUGGCACAUAGGGGCGAAGUGAUCUGUAUUCGCCAGGACCAGGAGUCAGGACCUGGGGUUUGAGGAUCAUCAGAGGAGAACGGCAGAGGCAGAGGUGCAGACAGGAGGGGCCGUAAAUAUUGAUGAGGAGCCGACGCGCACAGGAAAGACGCUGGAGACAAGGAGCUGCUCAAGGAGGACAAGGACAGGAAUUAAAUUAUUCAUCAUCUGAAAUGACUGUAAAAGGAAUAUAGUAGAGAUGUUGAAAUGACUGUAAAAGGAAUAUAUUGUAGUACAAAUGUUGAAGGGGGGGGUGAGAGUGAAAAAGAAGGGGGGGCACGCAAUCAAAACAAAGUUUUAGGCAAAGGCCAGUGCUGACGUCCAACAGGAGAGCAUGCUCUGACUGAGAACAGCUGGAAGGCAGGCUUUGAACUCUUCUGCCUCCUCUGCCUCUCUGUGAAGUCCUUCUCAGGCCCCAGAGCAGUUGUGAAGGCUCAGUGCUGGAUUACUCUGUGGCUUUGGUGAGAUCCCUAUGACUCACAGGGUUUCAUAGCAAACCAGACUUCCUAAUUCUUUUCCAUCUCAGUGUUAUGCUAAAUGUGUCCAUUGUGUGUGUGUAUGCGAUUGUAGGUGUGUGUAUGUAUGUAUUGUUGUGUGAUGCAAAAGGGAGUUCAUACUCACAGUCCAUAUGUGUAUAUGCAUCCUAAAAGACAU
Molecule: long non-coding RNA, 842 nt
Organism: Alosa alosa (allis shad)
Lineage: Eukaryota; Metazoa; Chordata; Actinopteri; Clupeiformes; Clupeidae
Exons: 3
Source: RefSeq, a predicted model, not a curated record